RNAcentral lists this long non-coding RNA (2482 nucleotides) under Vitis vinifera (wine grape). Its description in RNAcentral is "long non-coding RNA (VVIN_LNC001163)". The record is from RNAcentral. Lineage: Eukaryota; Viridiplantae; Streptophyta; Magnoliopsida; Vitales; Vitaceae.
GGAGAAUGAGCGGCCAGAGUCCGAUGAUGAGGAGGAUGAGGAAGAUGACGAGGAAGAUGAUCCUGGGAGUGGCGAAAUUGACGGUGAUGAUAGGCCAUAUAGAAUGAACAACGGGCAUAGCGUGGAAGGGAUAGUCGAUGUUGAUGAGGAUGAAGAGAGUGAUGCGGAUGAGGAGGAGACAGAGACGGCGAGAGGGGUUAAUGGAUCAAGUAGGUCUUCUCACCAUCAGUCAAACGGUUUUCGGGUUGCUGCAGUGAAUGGAGAGGAGGAAGAUGAGGAUGAGGGCGAUGAUGAAGAGGACAAUGAUUCAGGGGAGGAGAUUGAUGAAGAGGAUGGUGAGGAUGAAGAUGUGAUUGAGGUUCAUGAGAUUGAGGACAGUGAUGAUGAAGAAGACGGUGUAGAAGAUGAAGAUGAUGAGGAUGAGGAUGAUGAUGAUGAGGAUGAAGAAGAGGAAGUGGAUAACGAAGAGGGGGGUUUUACAGAGCCGAGGAGUACAGGGCGGGUGAUGAGCGCGGAAGGGGAGAUUGAUGCCCAUGAACAGGGGGAGGAGGACGCAGAGGAGGAUGAUAAUGGAGAAACUGGGGAGGAAGAGCAGGGUGUUGAAGAAGUUGGAGAGUUUGAAGACGAAGAAGAGUGUGAGGAAGAGGUGAGAAUUCCUUUUUCUUUCAAGCGCGAUAUGGUUUGAUUUUCUGUUCAUUUUGGUAAAUAUGCCUUGGGUUAUACUUUGAAUGCUCUUGUGCAGAAAAAUUGAAUGUUUUGAUAGUUUAUUAGCCCAUAUAAAACUGUUACAGACUGGUCAUCUUCGUUUCCUUCAUCUGGUGGAGCAAUAAGUUAACUGCAUUUGUUUGACUACUUUCUUGUUUCUAGUUAGUAUUUUAUGCCAGUGAUAAUUACUAAGCUGUUUUAUCUGCAUCUUCAUUUAAUUAUUAUAAAUUGUGCUGUGUUCUGUGUUAAAUUAUACUUUUUGUAAAUCUUUUUCCAUUUUAUUUUUAAUUUAGUUGUCGUUUUUUUUAAAUGAUUGUGAGGGAUUUUUUUUCAUUUAUUCCUGUCAAGGUUAGUAAUCUUUGGGGCUAGAUGUUCUUUUUGAUAUUGUUGUUUGGUGCAGGCUGUCAAUUGUGCAAGGACUUGCAUUGUUGCUCUAAGAUAAACUCCUGGUUAAUUUUUUUGAGCAGAAUGUCUCUUCUUAAUUUUUGGCCUGGCGGAGGGGGCAGAAGUCAAAUUCUUAAUCAUCUUUCUAGCCAGGCUCUGUUAGUAGAAUAUCACUAAUUUAUGCCUAUAAUAGGAUGCUGAGGGACAAGUUUUUUGGGCAUGGCAAUAUUACCAAGUUGACUAACUAAUUACACUUACUAAUGAGCCUUUUUUUUCUUCUCUCAAGUUAGUUGUAAUUGGUACUCUGUUCUGCUAACAGACAUAUUAGAUAAAAUUGUGAACAUUCGAUAUGCUCUAGGUUAUGAUGAGAAGACAGGAUGGUGUGUGCAGUGAAUUUAUCAGAUUAAUGGCCUGCUUAAAUUCUUUGUGUGGGUGGGUGGGUGUGUUUAAUAAAUCUGUUGCUUUACUGUUGGUACAUAGUUUCCCAAAGGAGAGUUACCUUGGUUUUUUUGUACUCUGAUUUGUGAACUAUGGUUUUUAUUUAGAAUGUUUGUUAUUCUAGACAUGUUGUGUUUGUUGUAGUGUAGCGUCUUGGACAGUAAUUAUCCAACUAAAGAUAAUAAUAAAAUUUCCUCCUUGAAUUUGACAUUGUGAAGUUGUUCCCAUUGCCAUUUAUUGGGUCAUUUUGAUUUUUUUUUUGUUAAAUUCAGUUCAAGAUUAGAUUUGUGAUUUGAUGGUAUAUUUUCAUUGUUAAUUUGACGUUUGCAUGAUUAUUUCUCAUGUUCUCUAUAUUUUUGUUGUAUUUUACCAUCCAUUUCUUUGUUAUUAAAUUUGAUUUUUAGUCCUAUUACUAAAGGAUGCAUUCUAUUUAUCUGGUUGAUAUAAUGUAAUUGUUGAUUAUAUCAUGUGAUUCUUUUUUCAAUUGUGAUAUUAAUAUUACUGUGUUUUGUCCUAAUGGCAGGAAGAAGAUUAUGCUUCAGGUUACUUGGUUCAACCUGUGGGCCAGGCUGAAGAGGAUGCUGGAGGCAGUGAAAUGGAGCCUGGAAACGAGGAAGAUGAUGCUGAAGAGGAGGAAGAAGUUGAAGAUGACAUUCAGCUGCUGCAUCCCUCAUCUCCGAGCCUCAAGAGGAAAAGAGAUGAACAAGCCAACAAUGAUGAUGGUGAAGGGGCUGAUGAGGAUGAGGAUGACGUUGUUGAUUACACCAAGUCAUCAAAGAAGAAGCACUGUUAGCAUUUAGCUAAUCUCCUGCCCCUUGGUGAAUUGUGAUUAUACAUGGAGAUGGGGGAACUUGAGGAUAGUUUUAGAUUGGUUGGUAUGGCUACGCCUUAGUUCAGUAUUUUAGGAAAGGAGGGUGUUAUUCAAAAGGAAGUUAGCAUGUUGUCCCCGUCAGCC